Mauremys mutica (yellowpond turtle) is the source of this 1140-nucleotide long non-coding RNA. RefSeq lists it as uncharacterized. The record is from RefSeq and is a predicted model, not a curated record. NCBI's taxonomy places the organism in Eukaryota, Metazoa, Chordata, Testudines, Geoemydidae. The transcript is spliced from 3 exons.
AUACCAUGGUGGCAGAACACUGAUAAAAUAUGACACUUGAAAGAUUACAGUAUAUACAUAUGCUCUUCUGAAAUUCUUCAGAGAUACUCUUCCAUCAGCAUUUUUCUGGCAUUCUCUCCAUUGAUUUCACUAGCAUAUUUCUAGUGGCUUUCAUCUCGGUAUAGGGGAAAUGGUUUUGUUCCUCUUCUGCUGUAGCAUGCAUCUUCGAUGGCCGUAAGAUAAAGACAACUCGCAGAUAUCUUGGUAAAGCAGAAACCUCUUGCAUCAGCUGUUGUGGGAAGAUAUCUUCCUCAGCCAGGCAGCUUGCUUAUCCAAAGUGCACAGCCAGCAUUUUUCUAGCAGCUGCAGUGGUGGGUUGUUUUUUUUUCAUGUCAACAUUACAUAUUUUUAAUUAUCCUAUUAUCAUAAGGCAAGAUGGUGCGGAGUUCUGAGUGGGAACAUUAACAAUUUUAUAAAAAUAAAUAAGCCAUGCCGCUGUCAUUUUAUGAGAGAUAAUUCAGUAAAAGACUUGUGGGUCAAACUAUACAGCACUCACUGCUGUAUAAUAUUUCUCUAAUCUUCACAUAGUUCCAGAAGAAGAAAAAUGUCAUUGCUGUGCCAGCACAGAAUCAGAUAGCGCCAAACAGGUAGUUGCCCACUUUUUUACUACAGUAAGUGAUUGACAUAACUGAACGGGGAGAGACACUUACAUUUUUUGCUGCAUGAAAAUGUCAUAGCCAAUCUGGAAAAUGCCAGAUAAUGUAGCGAAUGUUAUUGUUUUGCAAAAAUACAUCAACAAUUAUUUUUAAAGAGUGGGAAGAGCUCAAGAGAAGACUUUGGUGAAGAAAGCAUAUGGAUAGAGCAGCAGCGACAAAAGGAAGCAAACAGUAUCUUAUUGCCCUUUGCCUCAAGCCAAAACCAAUCACUUUGGGAAGGAGUACAGCUCCCAGGGACCCACCAGAAUGGACAGGAUCUGAUGGACAGGACCCACCAGAAUGGACAGGAUAUUGAACCCUUGAUCCCACAGUUUUCAUGAGAGUAGUAGCUGGCUUCAGUCUACAUGUGGUUGUCUGCACAUUUUUUUUACUUGUUCUGGCAUGUGGCAAUUCCCUGUAGCAGGAAAGCUGGGGUAGAGAAUGCUUUGCUCAAGAAGGGUUUUUA